This 225-nucleotide unclassified non-coding RNA is filed under the name Hevea brasiliensis (rubber tree). The record is from RNAcentral. Lineage: Eukaryota; Viridiplantae; Streptophyta; Magnoliopsida; Malpighiales; Euphorbiaceae.
CACGCCGCCGAAGGACUGUUACAAAGGGUGAAGACAUACGUUAUGACAUCACUUUAGAAUUUUCUGAGUCUAUAUUUGGAUCUGAAAAGGAAUUUGAGCUUUCUCAUUUGGAAACUUGUGAAAUUUGUACUGGUACUGGAGCAAAGAUGGGCUCCAAGAUGAGAAUAUGCUCCACAUGUGGUGGCAGGGGUCAAGUUGUGAGAACAAGCCAAAGGGUGUUUGCUC